Molecule: transfer RNA, 64 nt
Filed under: Cavia porcellus (domestic guinea pig)
Lineage: Eukaryota; Metazoa; Chordata; Mammalia; Rodentia; Caviidae
Rfam family: tRNA
About the family: Transfer RNA (tRNA) molecules are approximately 80 nucleotides in length. Their secondary structure includes four short double-helical elements and three loops (D, anti-codon, and T loops).
Source: Rfam by way of RNAcentral
GGGGAUUUAGCUCAGUGGUGUAAGCGCCUGCCUUGCAAGCAGACAGUUGUGAGUUCAAUCCCCG